UCAGGUCGAAAUAGAUCUUCUGAAUGGAGAAACCAGAUUUCUGCAAACAGAUAUUAUUUAUGAUUGUGGACAGAGUCUAAACCCUGCUGUGGAUUUAGGACAGAUUGAUAGAGCUUUUGUCCAGGGUUUAGGGUUUUUCAUGCUUGAAGAAUACGAAACAAAUAUUGAUGGUUUGGAAUUACAAAAUCCCUACAAUAGACACUAUACCUAAACGGUUUACAAUUCAAAUCCUCAACAGUGGGUACCACUAGCAACGUGUUCUUUCUUCAAAAGAUAUGACCAUGGAGUUACCAAAAACCUGUUUGUGUAUUUGUCUUUUUUGUUUAUUCAUUUUCUCUGAAUGCACAUCACUUAUAUAUGAAAAGGGAAGUUUUGUGAUUCUCUUUCAUUGAAUCAUUUAUAGGUUUAUUCUAACAAUUCAAUUACAAAAUCUAGGGACGAUAAAGACAGAAGAAAAUACUUGCUAACCAUGUAUUUUGUGGUGUAAACUGUUA
Long non-coding RNA from Glycine soja, 494 nucleotides. RefSeq lists it as uncharacterized. The transcript is spliced from 2 exons. The record is from RefSeq and is a predicted model, not a curated record. NCBI's taxonomy places the organism in Eukaryota, Viridiplantae, Streptophyta, Magnoliopsida, Fabales, Fabaceae.